GUCGGCCAGCGAUCGACUGGGAAGGAGCGUGUUCUCCGAGUCGAAGGAGGAUCGAAUUUGACUCGAAGAAAGAGGGAGAGAGAGAGAGAGAGAGGAAUGAACAGUACAAGCAAACGAGGAAGAGAGAACUACGGAGGAAGGAUGGACGACAUGCUGGAAAGAGAGAAAGAUUUACCGCCGUGCAGAGAGGAGAAAGGAGCACGAGGAGAGAGAUUGGGUUAACGGGGAGAUGAGGGUGUAAGUCUGAGCGCACCAGGACGAAGAGGGACAACCUAGGUAGAAGGAAUAAUGGGACUGCGAGAUGAAAAAAAAAAAGCGAUCGGAAGGAAAAGUCGACGACGAAUGUCGUCGGACGAGCGAAAUAUCGAGAAGAGAAGAAUCAACGGGCGAUAUAAAAAGAUUGUGAAAGUUCGAAGCGAGAGAGAAAAAGAUGCGUGACGAGAAGGAUGACCGGCAAGAGAAGAACUGAUGGGAGAGAGAGAAGAUCACGAAGAGAAAGAUGCUAUUGACGAUUCGAAGUAUCAGAGUAGGAGAAGACUGGAGAACAUAUAUAUUAAGGAUGAUGUAAUUGUCUGAGAAGAAACUCAAUGUACAAAACAAUCCUUUUCACGCAGUCAUCAUUUUUUAUCGGCUGUAUCACAAUAAAGCAGCAUCGAGAACAUCGAAAAACGAUUACAUCGAGAUACGCCGGGCGAACAAAUACUAAAAUAAAGGUAAACAUUUGCGGGAGUAAACCGCAGAAGUACCGUGUUCAAAACGUCAAGGGACCAUGUACAGCGGAGGCGAACGGUGUUCGAAGACACCGCAAAGAACAAGCUUGGGAACAAGAAGAGGGCUAGAGCAAGAGCGCGCACCCGACGGAUUGUCAGCAUCUUUCGACAGUCUACCGACAUUCGCUACGGAUGAACCUGCCUGUGAUUGCGGCCAAUUAAAAAAAAGAAAAAGAUCGACCGAUUACUGCCGAGAGAAGCGAAUAAAGCGAAGGACACCGAAGAGCGGGAUCGGGAAACCACGCGUGAGCGAAAAACCGGUAUAAGUGAGAAAGAGAGAGAAAAGAAGAAAGAUAUCCCCGACGCUUCGCCACGGUAGAAUGGAUCUACCGGGUGGUGGAAGGAGACACACGCCGAUGAGAGAUCCAAGGCAGAUUCGAAUGGAACCGAGGCGAACGGACCGACGAACGAACGACCGGUAGAAGAGGAAGGACAGGUAUGAGACGUAAGUCCGCGAAAAGCGACGAGGAGAGGGAGAGGGACAGGGAGCUUCGGGUCCUCUCUCAUUCUCCCUCUCUCUCUCUCAUUGUUCUCAGUACGACGGUUUGGCUCGCUGACGUCACAACGACGAUUUGAACAGGCCAAUCGGCGCUCGCAGUCAUCUCAUCCGUCGGUUACUCGCUGGUUGGAUCGCAGAGCAACCAGGUAGAGAAAACAGGAUGAUGGUAGGUAGGAGGGAGGUAGAGGAAAAGGUAGUGGGGCCGCGGGACCGGUGCGUACGGCCCAGACCUAUUCAGUUGAUCAGUGAGUGCGGUAGUUGUCUCAUCUCGUACCGCGCCAGGUGUAACUUUCCUCUCUUUCUCUCUCGGUCUCUGUGUGUCCUUGAUACGACGGAGACAGUGAUGGAGUUAAAUCUCACGGAACGUGCUCCGAUCCGGAGCCAAUGCCACAGAUAAUAGACGCGAUGGCCGCGUAUUACAUGUCGAUGUGCGAUCGGAUCUUGCAACCUGGAAAGCGAAGACCUAACUUCCAACCUGGGAAUAGAGAAACUCAUGGCUUCACAAUUUAUAUUUGUAUUCCUUUUCCAUGCUCAAAAAUUAUAGGAAAAAAAAUAAUUUGCCAAGUAUUCGUUACAACAAAUCUUUUGCAAUGGAAGGAAUGCAAUGCAAAGAAAUUUAGCGCAAUAUUUUCAUUUUGAACAUAUAUUAACAACAGUCAGACUUAUUUUAAUAUUUCUCUUAUCGGCGAUUCGCGAAAUCGCAAUUGAGAAAAAAUCUUCUAUGUUCAUCUUAUAUGUUCAAAAAGGUCUUGGCGCGGACAUUUUCUUUGGUUAUCUAGCUGUAUGAGUUUUAUUCUACAUCAUAAAGCUAGGUUACCGGAGUUAAGCUCCUCGCCAUAUCAACUCCAGCAAUCUUCCCCUUAUGCGUUUCUACGCUUCAGCGAAAAUAAAGCACCGAGACGCCGAAACUGUUACACCUGAGGCAUCCUCGACAUCAUCGCGGCAUCGACUUAUCGGGUAAUAAAAGCAGUGUUAAAAAAAAAUUUAAUUUACAGUUUAUAAUUUUAGAUAUUAAUGAUUGAAUUUUUACAUCUCUUUUUAGUAGUAUUAUAAUUUAAUGUAGGCGAUAGACAUUUAACGAUUUACAUAUGUAAUCUCAUUCAUAUAUUUUUAUUAGAUGUAUGAUAAGUACUACAAGAAAAUACCAGACGAAUACUAGAUGAAUUCGAAUAUCAAGAUAAUAAUAAUUGUUAUGCGAAGACGCAUGCGUCCCGCUACUUCCGAUUGUCACAUCGAAUAAAAAUAACGAACCCCGCAAAAUCAUUCCUCUCUCCCACGUUUCCGAACAGAAAGGACCUAUGCUAUUGUGUCGAAUAAUUUUCAGCUGUUAGGUCCUCACAAUGGGUCGAGUGUUCGGUACGAAGAACCAUGCAAACACAGAUCCAUAAAGAAGUAUAAGCCACGCACUCGCCGAUCCCGCAACCGCAACCGUACAGAACAGGCAAAUGCGAAAGUGUCGCCUAAGUUGUAUAGCUGUGUGUACGGCUCUCUGUAUUCCCCUUGCGCGUGAAACUACGAGUUGGGCAUUUGUAAUUGUCGUUAGUGUCGAUGACUCGUGAUCGGCUUGUCGAAAGGGACUUUACAAAGUCGCGCGUAUCGAUGUUCCCUCGCACAUGUUUAUGUUGCACCUACAUCACGCGCGGGGGUAUCAUGAAAUAUUGCUGAGAAUAAUGUCCGCUAUUUUGAUAAUCACUUUGGAGAAAGUUACGUUAUUAUAUCGCACCGGAAUCAAAGAGAGAGAGAGAGAGAACGUAAAUGCGGGACUCGACCCAAUUCGACGAAGCUUAUACAAUGAACGAUCGGCUAUAUUUUUCUUUAUUUUUACUCCGUAAAUUGAAUUAACUUCUGGAAGAAGCUCGAGUCACAAAUUUUAUUUUCGAAAUAAUAUUUCAUCAAUUUAAAAGUCGCGUUUUCUCUCUCAUUAUAUAUCAUUGUCGAUAUAGUUCUUAUUGUUGCAGACAUACACGUGCGAUCUUUGGGCAGAUUUCUUAUGACGAUCCGAUUGAUAAUUUAUUUUAACGCUGCUUUCGAUAGAAGCGCAAAAAUUUGUACACAUCGUGAGUUUAAAGCGUUAACGUAUCGAAAGAACGGCUCGCGAGAACGGAACAAGUUGUUUCAUUAAACACACGCUGUGCCUAUGAAACGUUACAUUUUAAGUGUGUGCCGACACGGUGCGUGACGACAAUGGUUCCCACAAUAAAGAAGCCAGGAUAUGUUUACCAAUUAUACAUAUAUGUAUAUGCGACCACAGGAACGAACACGUCCGGCGUGAUAUUGCAGGAAAAAUUCUUGGCUUUGUUUAAAUUGCAAAAUGUAAAAGUUAGAACAAUGUCAAAUUUGAUUUAUGAAAUAUUAAACAUUAAAGAGAAUAGAAGAAGAAUGUCAAUUAGAUUUAGCUUUUUCCUUAAUUUUCUCUAAAAUUUUUAUUUGUAAGUUUUCUUGGAAAUUUGGAACAAUCUUUGGCAUUUAAAAAUAAAUUUACAUUUAAACAGCUCUUACAAGAUGAACCAAUUGAUAUCUAAAGAGAAUGUGAUUGUGGGUGAUAAAAAGAUGGAAGAAGUAGAUUAAGCUUUGCUAUAAUAGAAUUUUUGUAAUAUUCAUAAUAUAUUAGAAAAAAGCUGUGUAAACAUAUAUGAUUGCAUUUGA
Long non-coding RNA from Cataglyphis hispanica, 3915 nucleotides. RefSeq lists it as uncharacterized. The transcript is spliced from 3 exons. Lineage: Eukaryota; Metazoa; Arthropoda; Insecta; Hymenoptera; Formicidae. The record is from RefSeq and is a predicted model, not a curated record.